GAUGAACGCUGGCGGCGUGCCUAAUACAUGCAAGUCGAGCGAACAGACGCUGAGCUUGCUCCUCUGACGUUAGCGGCGGACGGGUGAGUAACGCGUGUAUAACCUACUUAUCAGACUGGGAUAACUUCGGGAAACCGGAGCUAAUACCGGAGAAUAUAUUGAACCGCAGGGUGCAAUAGUGAGAGACGGUUGUGGUGGCACUUAUAGAUGGUUCCGCGCCGCAUGAGCUAGUUGGUAAGGUAACGGCUUUCCAAGGCAACGAUGCGUAGCCGACCUGAGGGGGUGAUCGGCCACACUGGAGCUGAGACACGGUCCAGACUCCUACGGGAGGCAGCAGUAGGGAAUCUUCCGCAAUGGGCGAAAGCCUGACGGAGCAACGCCGCGUGAGUGAUGAAGGUCUCCGGAUCGUAAAAAUCUGUUAUUAGGGAAGAACAAAUGUGUCAGUAACUAUGCACGUCUUGACGGUACCUAAUCAGAAAGCCCCGGCUAACUACGUG
This 497-nucleotide ribosomal RNA is filed under the name uncultured bacterium. Its description in RNAcentral is "partial 16S ribosomal RNA". It matches the Rfam family "Bacterial small subunit ribosomal RNA", at positions 28 to 507 of the family's 1533-position model. The record is from RNAcentral.